GCCUGGGUGGCUCAGACAGCUGAGCGUCCGACUUCAGCUCAGGUCAUGAUCUUCAGUUCGUGGGUUCAAGCCCCACAUCAGGCU
This 84-nucleotide transfer RNA is filed under the name Felis catus (domestic cat). It matches the Rfam family "tRNA". From Rfam's summary of the family: Transfer RNA (tRNA) molecules are approximately 80 nucleotides in length. Lineage: Eukaryota; Metazoa; Chordata; Mammalia; Carnivora; Felidae. The record is from Rfam by way of RNAcentral.